RNAcentral lists this ribosomal RNA (808 nucleotides) under uncultured bacterium. Its description in RNAcentral is "bacterial SSU rRNA". It matches the Rfam family "Bacterial small subunit ribosomal RNA", at positions 1 to 810 of the family's 1533-position model. The record is from RNAcentral.
UUAGAGUUUGAUCCUGGCUCAGGAUGAACGCUAGCGGCAGGCUUAACACAUGCAAGUCGAGGGGCAGCGCGAGUAGCAAUACUUGGCGGCGACCGGCGCAAGGGUGCGUAACACGUGAGUAACAUACCUGUAUCAGGGGAAUAAGCCAUGGAAACGUGGUCUAAAACCGCAUAAUAUGAACUAUAGGCAUCUAUAGAUUAUUAAAAUUACGAUGGAAACAGAUUGGCUCGCGGAACAUUAGCUAGUUGGUAAGGUAACGGCUUACCAAGGCGACGAUGUUUAGGGGUUCUGAGAGGAAGGUCCCCCACACUGGAACUGAGACACGGUCCAGACUCCUACGGGAGGCAGCAGUGAGGAAUAUUGGACAAUGGAUGGAAAUCUGAUCCAGCCAUGCCGCGUGAAGGAUAAGGUCCUAUGGAUUUUCAACUUCUUUUGUAUGGGAGCAAUAAGGUCUACGCGUAGACUGAUGAGAGUACCAUACGAAUAAGCAUCGGCUAACUCCGUGCCAGCAGCCGCGGUAAUACGGAGGAUGCAAGCGUUAUCCGGAUUUAUUGGGUUUAAAGGGUGCGUAGGCGGAAGGAUAAGUCAGCGGUGAAACGUACGGGCUCAACCCGUGAACUGCCGUUGAAACUGUUCAUCUGGAAUGCGGAUGCUGUGGGAGGAAUGUGUAGUGUAGCGGUGAAAUGCAUAGAUAUUACACAGAACACCGAUUGCGAAGGCAUCUCACAAAACCGCGAUUGACGCUGAGGCACGAAAGUGUGGGGAUCGAACAGGAUUAGAUACCCUGGUAGUCCACACAGUAAACGAU